RNAcentral lists this long non-coding RNA (644 nucleotides) under Marmota monax (woodchuck). Lineage: Eukaryota; Metazoa; Chordata; Mammalia; Rodentia; Sciuridae. The record is from RNAcentral.
GAGAUAGAUGGACAGGUGGAUAGAUAGGUAGACAGGAUGGAUAGAUGAUAGAAGAUAGAUAGAUGAUUGACAGGUAGAUAGACAGAAUGGGUCGAUGACAGAGAGAUAGAUGGACAGCCAGAAUUGGUAGAUGAUAGACAGAUGAUAGAAUUGAUAGAUGAUAGACCCCGAUUAGUGGAUUAAUCCACUUCAGCUGGGUGGUUCCUGAUUUUCUUGUACUGACCCCACAAACCAGGAGUGGGGGACACCCCGUCUCUCUGUUUGCUCUCUUCGUCUCUCGUCUCUCCGUCUUAUCUCUGUCACCAUCUCCCCGUGCCUGCGUCUCUCACAUCUCUCCUCCUCUCGUCUCUCAUCUCUGUCUCUGUCUCACCCCCCCACACCCACUAGCUCAGGGCUGGAGGGUGGUCAGGGGACCCUCUCCUGCAGGACUCCUCCCCUGGAGGUGACGUUGCAGCCACAGGAGGAGCGCACACCCCAGGAACGCCCUGUCCUCAUCCCCGGCCGCCCUGAGGCUGCAGCCCCCAGCACUCAGUGUGAACCUCACCCACUACCACCCACUCGGGUGCUCCCUGCUCCCCGUGGUGCCCGAGGCUCCGUCCCAUGGACACAGUGAAUUUAAAAGGCUCAGGCUCCACUGGGCGUGG